CAACAACUGCACCAACCACAACAACUGCUGCACCAACCACAACAAUAGUCGUAGAUACCAGAACAACUUCUGCACCAACAUCGACAACAGCUGGAGCACUUCAGUGCCAAACCUGCACAAAUCAGACGUGUUCAAGCACAGUAACAGUGAACUGUUCUUCAGAGACCAUGUGUGUUACAGCUACUAUUUUAGCUACCUCAUCUGGAACUACAGCAACACAAUUCUACAAGGCGUGUGCAUCUUCCUCUCUGUGUCCAGCUACGGGCAAUCAGACAUUUUCAGUUAACCUGGGUGUUCAAAGUGUUCUUGCAUCUGCCACGUGCUGCAACACGGAUAACUGCAACUCACAAAAUCUGCCUGCUCCUACUCCUCAGUCAAGUAACGGCCUACUAUGUAACACUUGUGUCGCCUCUCAGUGCAACACUACAUUACAGUGUCAGGGAGUGGAGGACCAAUGCUUUCAAUCAAUGAUGAGGGACGGCACCAACAGUUUCCCAGCUUACGGCUGUGCAUCUGCAAACCUGUGUGCAGCUGCUUCAAGCCUGGGUUCUCUACCUUUCAUGCAGAUGGCUGGUACCAUAACAAGUGGACCAAACUGUACUUCACGCACAACCACUGCUGCACCAACCAACAACAAAAGCUGCUUCAACCACAACUACAGCUGCACCAACAACAACUACUGCUGCACCAACAACAACUACUCCAACUACGACCACUGUUGCCCCAACCACUAACAACUGCACCAACCACAACAACUGCUGCACCAACCACAACAAUAGUCGUAGAUACCAGAACAACUUCUGCACCAACAUCGACAACAGCUGGAGCACUUCAGUGCCAAACCUGCACAAAUCAGACGUGUUCAAGCACAGUAACAGUGAACUGUUCUUCAGAGACCAUGUGUGUUACAGCUACUAUUUUAGCUACCUCAUCUGGAACUACAGCAACACAAUUCUACAAGGCGUGUGCAUCUUCCUCUCUGUGUCCAGCUACGGGCAAUCAGACAUUUUCAGUUAACCUGGGUGUUCAAAGUGUUCUUGCAUCUGCCACGUGCUGCAACACGGAUAACUGCAACUCACAAAAUCUGCCUGCUCCUACUCCUCAGUCAAGUAACGGCCUACUAUGU
This is a long non-coding RNA of Oreochromis niloticus (Nile tilapia), 1126 nucleotides long. RefSeq lists it as uncharacterized. The transcript is spliced from 6 exons. Lineage: Eukaryota; Metazoa; Chordata; Actinopteri; Cichliformes; Cichlidae. The record is from RefSeq and is a predicted model, not a curated record.